Molecule: ribosomal RNA, 227 nt
Filed under: uncultured bacterium
Lineage: Bacteria
Description: partial 16S ribosomal RNA
Rfam family: Bacterial small subunit ribosomal RNA
Source: RNAcentral
AGUAACGCGUGAGGAACCUGCCUCAAAGAGGGGGACAACAGUUGGAAACGACUGCUAAUACCGCAUAAGCCCACGGCUCGGCAUCGAGCAGAGGGAAAAGGAGCAAUCCGCUUUGAGAUGGCCUCGCGUCCGAUUAGCUAGUUGGUGAGGUAACGGCCCACCAAGGCGACGAUUGGUAGCCGGACUGAGAGGUUGAACGGCCACAUUGGGACUGAGACACGGCCCAG